UACGGGGGGUGCGAGCGUUGUCCGGAAUCACUGGGCGUAAAGGGCGCGUAGGUGGCGUGAUAAGGGUGUGGUGAAAGCCCGGAGCUCAACUCCGGAACUGCCUUUAAGACUGCAUCGCUUGAAUCCAGGAGAGGUGAGUGGAAUUCCGAGUGUAGAGGUGAAAUUCGUAGAUAUUCGGAAGAACACCAGUGGCGAAGGCGGCUCACUGGACUGGUAUUGACGCUGAGGUGCGAAAGCGUGGGGAGCAAACAGG
Molecule: ribosomal RNA, 253 nt
Filed under: uncultured bacterium
Lineage: Bacteria
Description: partial 16S ribosomal RNA
Rfam family: Bacterial small subunit ribosomal RNA
Source: RNAcentral